RNAcentral lists this ribosomal RNA (132 nucleotides) under uncultured bacterium. Its description in RNAcentral is "partial 16S ribosomal RNA". It matches the Rfam family "Bacterial small subunit ribosomal RNA", at positions 378 to 524 of the family's 1533-position model. The record is from RNAcentral.
CAAGCCUGAUCCAGCAAUUCUGUGUGCACGAUGAAGGUCUUCGGAUUGUAAAGUGCUUUCAGUUGGGAAGAAGAAAGUGACGGUACCAACAGAAGAAGCGACGGCUAAAUACGUGCCAGCAGCCGCGGUAAU